This 436-nucleotide long non-coding RNA is filed under the name Sorghum bicolor (sorghum). Its description in RNAcentral is "long non-coding RNA (SBIC_LNC003665)". The record is from RNAcentral. Lineage: Eukaryota; Viridiplantae; Streptophyta; Magnoliopsida; Poales; Poaceae.
CGAGGAGGCCAAGGUGGUGGAGGAGCCAGCUGCCCCGGCGGAGCCCGAGCCUGUCGCCGCUGAGCCUGAGGCCGAGCCUGCCGCCGCGGAGCCGGAGGCGGCACCUGCUGCGGCCGCGGCGGAAGAAGAGGCGCCAAAGGAGGCGGAGCCGGCCGCGGUCGAGGAGGUCAAGGAGGAGGAGGCUGCGGCGCCCGCUGCCGAGACAGAGCCGGCGGCCGCCGAGCCCGAGGCUGCUGCUCCUGCUCCUGCUGCUGCCGAGGAGCCCGCCGCGGCCGAGCCGGCCGCCGAGGAGCCCGAGAAGGCCAGCGAGUGAGGCCUCCUCGGCGGCGGCCAAGGGAUCGGAGUGAGAUGGCUCAUCGUGCGCGCGUACAUGCCACGGGCUUUUGCUGUUGAGUACGCUACGGUUACUGGCGUUUCUCUACGUACCUAGCAGUGG